RNAcentral lists this non-coding RNA (24 nucleotides) under Gallus gallus (chicken). RNAcentral also lists the same sequence under 4 other names. Lineage: Eukaryota; Metazoa; Chordata; Aves; Galliformes; Phasianidae. The record is from RNAcentral.
CAAAGUGCUCACAGUGCAGGUAGA